CGACGUCGACCGGGUUUUCUUGAGACCUCGCCACUUCAAACACUGGAGGUCCACCAAAAUGAAGCCGGUCGAAUUCCACUCAGACAUCGCAUCUUCAACUUGAGAAGUGUUUCAAGGUGUAUAAUUGGUAAAUUGCAAACUAAUUCUGGGUUUGUUUCUUGAUCGAAAGUGUCCAAGUGGUAGAGAUUGACAAAAGGAAAAACCUUGAUGAAGAUCAUGUUAGUAGGAUGUCAAUUGAUACGAAAUCGGAGAUGAUUUUGACGAAUUUAUUUUUGUGAAAAUAGAUUUGGUCACACUUGAUAAAACCCAAUUUGCAUUUUGAACCCAUGAAGUCCGUUAAAACGACGGCGUGUCCUUUUAAGGUCGCAUUAUAGAACCUACGACGUCUAAUUGGUAAAAUUGCGAACUCAUACAGGGUUUAUUUCUUGAUCGAGACUUUUCAAGUCGUAGAUCUUGUAAAGAAGAUAAACUUUGGUGAAGAUCAAGUUAAUUUGAUAUCGAUUGAUACAUAAUCGGAGAUGAUUUUGUUAAAUUUAUUUUUCUGAAAAAAGACUUGGCCACACUUGAUCAUACCCACUUCAUUACGGAAUACAAAUUCGCUCCUCCGAGGGAAAAGGAGUGAAUUUGGUGGUUCGUUCAUCAGAAUUCAGAGGAAGCUAUGGAAGGAAGGAAUUGAUGGGAUCGAUCUCAUUGACAGUAACAGGCAGAUGGAAUCGGUGUGACGGUGGUGGGAUUAGCUCUGGCAUGUGCAUCCUAAUAAUGGAGAAAAAGAAGAAGGUGCUUAUGCCGAAAAUGGAAUGAGACGCUACUACACCCCGUUCUACCACAUAAUGCGUCUCUGGUACUUUAACCGUGUGGUAGAGAUGGGGUUUGAGACUAGGGGACAACAGAAAAUCGACUAGGAGAUCAGGGCUCCUGACAGGCAAUUUGGUCAGACUAAUAGGUGGCCACACAUGGAUCAAAAGGACAAAUAUUAGGCCUCAUGUUGGUUUGGCAGGUUGGGUUGAUUUGGGGGUCCUUGGUAUUUCAUAUUGGGAAACCAUUUCCCUCAACAAGUAGGACAUUUAGGUGUUGAUUUCAAUCACGUCUCAAUAAGGCAAGAAGAAUAGGGGCUUUGAGUUUGAAGAGCAAAAGAGUCCAACGCACAGCUGGAUUUUACUUUUCAUGCACAACAUACAAGAGGAAAAGAGGAUACAAGAGGAAAAGAGGAGUGAUUCAUCUGUGGUCUUGGGAUAUUGCCACGUGGUAUAUUAGUAUCUUUCACUACAAAUUCAUGCAAGUUUCACAAACUUAGUCUCGGGCUUUUAUCAAUGUGCAGUCAAGAUGAGUUUUGGGGACACCACGUAGUGGUUCUCCCAAGAGCACCCAAUAAUGUUUAGAUAAGAGGGUUUUACAAAACUAAGCUAAUGGAGAUCUACUUGAACUUGGCUUAGAAAAGCUCCUUUGAGAAAAAAGAUGAGGAUAAUAUAGAAUGAGCCAAACUACUAGAGAUUGACUCAAACUCGAAUACCUGUUUUUUAUUUGACUCAUCAUAUAAAGAAG
This is a long non-coding RNA of Rhododendron vialii, 1542 nucleotides long. RefSeq lists it as uncharacterized. The record is from RefSeq and is a predicted model, not a curated record. Lineage: Eukaryota; Viridiplantae; Streptophyta; Magnoliopsida; Ericales; Ericaceae. The transcript is spliced from 4 exons.